UACGGGGGGGGCAAGCGUUGUUCGGAAUUACUGGGCGUAAAGGGCGCGUAGGCGGUUGGAUAAGUCAGCUGUGAAAACCACGGGCUUAACUCGUGGCCUGCAGUUGAGACUGUCUGGCUUGAGUGUGGGAGAGGAGAGUGGAACUCCUGGUGUAGCGGUGAAAUGCGUAGAUAUCAGGAGGAACACCGGUGGCGAAGGCGGCUCUCUGGACCACAACUGACGCUGAGGCGCGAAAGCUAGGGGAGCAAACAGG
RNAcentral lists this ribosomal RNA (253 nucleotides) under uncultured bacterium. RNAcentral describes it as "partial 16S ribosomal RNA". It matches the Rfam family "Bacterial small subunit ribosomal RNA", at positions 524 to 776 of the family's 1533-position model. The record is from RNAcentral.